AUGCUUGCUUCAGCAGCACAUACACUAAAAUUGGAAUGAUACAGAGAAGAUUAGCAUGGCCCCUGUGCAAGGAUGACAUGCAAAUUCACGCAGUGUUCCAUAUUUUU
This 107-nucleotide small nuclear RNA is filed under the name Cebus imitator (Panamanian white-faced capuchin). Lineage: Eukaryota; Metazoa; Chordata; Mammalia; Primates; Cebidae. The record is from RNAcentral.